AGAGUUUGAUCCUGGCUCAGAACGAACGCUGGCGGCGCGCCUAAUACAUGCAAGUCGAGCGAGAAGGUGUAGCAAUACACUUGUAAAGCGGCGAACGGGUGAGGAAUGCAUGGGUAACCUACCCUCGAGUGGGGAAUAACUAGCCGAAAGGUUAGCUAAUACCGCAUACGUUUCCGGGACUUCGGUUCCGGAAAGAAAGCAAUACCGUGGGUAUUGCGCUCAUGGAUGGGCUCAUGUCCUAUCAGCUUGUUGGUGAGGUAACGGCUCACCAAGGCUUCGACGGGUAGCUGGUCUGAGAGGACGAUCAGCCACACUGGCACUGCGACACGGGCCAGACUCCUACGGGAGGCAGCAGUAAGGAAUAUUGCGCAAUGGACGAAAGUCUGACGCAGCGACGCCGCGUGGGGGAUGAAGGUCUUCGGAUUGUAAACCCCUUUCGGGAGGGAAGAUGGAGUGGGUAACCACUUGGACGGUACCUCCAGAAGCAGCCACGGCUAACUUCGUGCCAGCAGCCGCGGUAAUACGAAGGUGGCAAGCGUUGUUCGGAUUCACUGGGCGUACAGGGAGCGUAGGCGGUUGGGUAAGCCCUCCGUGAAAUCUCCGGGCCUAACCCAGAAAGUGCAGAGGGGACUGCUCAGCUAGAGGAUGGGAGAGGAGCGCGGAAUUCCCGGUGUAGCGGUGAAAUGCGUAGAGAUCGGGAGGAAGGCCGGUGGCGAAGGCGGCGCUCUGGAACAUUUCUGACGCUGAGGCUCGAAAGCGUGGGGAGCAAACAGGAUUAGAUACCCUGGUAGUCCAA
Molecule: ribosomal RNA, 796 nt
Filed under: uncultured bacterium
Lineage: Bacteria
Description: bacterial SSU rRNA
Rfam family: Bacterial small subunit ribosomal RNA
Source: RNAcentral